Panicum virgatum (switchgrass) is the source of this 359-nucleotide long non-coding RNA. RefSeq lists it as uncharacterized. The record is from RefSeq and is a predicted model, not a curated record. The transcript has 2 exons. Lineage: Eukaryota; Viridiplantae; Streptophyta; Magnoliopsida; Poales; Poaceae.
ACUUGGUAAGUAUCUUCUGCGCUUUGAGUUGAUUCUAUUCUACACAAGUUUGCCGUGAAAUCGCUAUAGAAAUCAAGCUAAAUCUCCUCUAUUUUGCCUGUGUACAUGUAGUAUCGGUGUUCAUGUAGUAUCUAUAAACAAGCUUGGAGUAUAUCUGCGUACAUGUAGGAUCUCCUCCAGUAAACAUGCCUUCCAUGUUGAUGCACGAAGCCUGCAGGUGUUGAGGCUCACUGAAGGUGUUGAGGCUAACUGAAGUUGUUUCUUAUUUAAUUGAGAGUUUUAACUUUUGCUAGCCUGUAUGAAAGAAGCAAUGUAAGAACAGAUCAUCUCUAUUAGAUCAUCACCGUUUCAAAUUUUAA